UCGAGUCGGCCUGCGCGGAAGAUGUAACGGGGCUAAACCAUGCACCGAAGCUGCGGCAGCGACACUGUGUGUUGUUGGGUAGGGGAGCGUUCUGUAAGCCUGUGAAGGUGUGUCGUGAGGCAUGCUGGAGGUAUCAGAAGUGCGAAUGCUGACAUAAGUAACGAUAAAGCGGGUGAAAAGCCCGCUCGCCGGAAGACCAAGGGUUCCUGUCCAACGUUAAUCGGGGCAGGGUGAGUCGACCCCUAAGGCGAGGCCGAAAGGCGUAGUCGAUGGGAAACGGGUUAAUAUUCCCGUACUUGGUGUUACUGCGAAGGGGGGACGGAGAAGGCUAUGUUGGCCGGGCGACGGUUGUCCCGGUUUAAGCGUGUAGGUGUGUGUUCCAGGUAAAUCCGGUUCACUUUAACACUGAGGCGUGACGACGAGGCACUACGGUGCUGAAGCAACAAAUGCCCUGCUUCCAGGAAAAGCCUCUAAGCAUCAGGUAACAUCAAAUCGUACCCCAAACCGACACAGGUGGUCAGGUAGAGAAUACCAAGGCGCUUGAGAGAACUCGGGUGAAGGAACUAGGCAAAAUGGUGCCGUAACUUCGGGAGAAGGCACGCUGACACGUAGGUGAAGUGAUUUACUCAUGGAGCUGAAGUCAGUCGAAGAUACCAGCUGGCUGCAACUGUUUAUUAAAAACACAGCACUGUGCAAACACGAAAGUGGACGUAUACGGUGUGACGCCUGCCCGGUGCCGGAAGGUUAAUUGAUGGGGUCAGCGCAAGCGAAGCUCCUGAUCGAAGCCCCGGUAAACGGCGGCCGUAACUAUAACGGUCCUAAGGUAGCGAAAUUCCUUGUCGGGUAAGUUCCGACCUGCACGAAUGGCGUAAUGAUGGCCAGGCUGUCUCCACCCGAGACUCAGUGAAAUUGAACUCGCUGUGAAGAUGCAGUGUACCCGCGGCAAGACGGAAAGACCCCGUGAACCUUUACUAUAGCUUGACACUGAACAUUGAGCCUUGAUGUGUAGGAUAGGUGGGAGGCUUUGAAGUGUGGACGCCAGUCUGCAUGGAGCCGACCUUGAAAUACCACCCUUUAAUGUUUGAUGUUCUAACGUGGACCCGUUACCCGGGUUGCGGACAGUGUCUGGUGGGUAGUUUGACUGGGGCGGUCUCCUCCUAAAGAGUAACGGAGGAGCACGAAGGUUGGCUAAUCCUGGUCGGACAUCAGGAGGUUAGUGCAAUGGCAUAAGCCAGCUUGACUGCGAGCGUGACGGCGCGAGCAGGUGCGAAAGCAGGUCAUAGUGAUCCGGUGGUUCUGAAUGGAAGGGCCAUCGCUCAACGGAUAAAAGGUACUCCGGGGAUAACAGGCUGAUACCGCCCAAGAGUUCAUAUCGACGGCGGUGUUUGGCACCUCGAUGUCGGCUCAUCACAUCCUGGGGCUGAAGUAGGUCCCAAGGGUAUGGCUGUUCGCCAUUUAAAGUGGUACGCGAGCUGGGUUUAGAACGUCGUGAGACAGUUCGGUCCCUAUCUGCCGUGGGCGCUGGAGAACUGAGGGGGGCUGCUCCUAGUACGAGAGGACCGGAGUGGACGCAUCACUGGUGUUCGGGUUGUCAUGCCAAUGGCACUGCCCGGUAGCUAAAUGCGGAAGAGAUAAGUGCUGAAAGCAUCUAAGCACGAAACUUGCCCCGAG
RNAcentral lists this ribosomal RNA (1671 nucleotides) under Salmonella enterica. RNAcentral describes it as "partial 23S ribosomal RNA". It matches the Rfam family "Bacterial large subunit ribosomal RNA", at positions 1149 to 2803 of the family's 2925-position model. The record is from RNAcentral. Lineage: Bacteria; Pseudomonadati; Pseudomonadota; Gammaproteobacteria; Enterobacterales; Enterobacteriaceae.